This 465-nucleotide ribosomal RNA is filed under the name Vreelandella stevensii. Its description in RNAcentral is "partial 16S ribosomal RNA". It matches the Rfam family "Bacterial small subunit ribosomal RNA", at positions 338 to 795 of the family's 1533-position model. The record is from RNAcentral. Lineage: Bacteria; Pseudomonadati; Pseudomonadota; Gammaproteobacteria; Oceanospirillales; Halomonadaceae.
CCUACGGGCGGCAGCAGUGGGGAAUAUUGGACAAUGGGGGCAACCCUGAUCCAGCCAUGCCGCGUGUGUGAAGAAGGCCCUCGGGUUGUAAAGCACUUUCAGUGAGGAAGAACGCCUGGUGGUUAAUACCCAUCAGGAAAGACAUCACUCACAGAAGAAGCACCGGCUAACUCCGUGCCAGCAGCCGCGGUAAUACGGAGGGUGCGAGCGUUAAUCGGAAUUACUGGGCGUAAAGCGCGCGUAGGUGGCUUGAUAAGCCGGUUGUGAAAGCCCCGGGCUCAACCUGGGAACGGCAUCCGGAACUGUCAAGCUAGAGUGCAGGAGAGGAAGGUAGAAUUCCGGGUGUAGCGGUGAAAUGCGUAGAGAUCGGGAGGAAUACCAGUGGCGAAGGCGGCCUUCUGGACUGACACUGACACUGAGGUGCGAAAGCGUGGGUAGCAAACAGGAUUAGAUACCCCUGUAGUC